This 22-nucleotide non-coding RNA is filed under the name Arabidopsis thaliana (thale cress). The record is from RNAcentral. Lineage: Eukaryota; Viridiplantae; Streptophyta; Magnoliopsida; Brassicales; Brassicaceae.
UCUUGAAGUGCGUAAUACUCGA